GUCUCGGAUAGCUUUAACUUGGUAGAGCCGCCUUUGGCGCGUAACCAAAAUGAUCCAGGUUCGAGUCCCGGUCUGGGCU
This 79-nucleotide transfer RNA is filed under the name Cotesia glomerata. RNAcentral's name for it is "tRNA-Thr". The record is from RNAcentral. Lineage: Eukaryota; Metazoa; Arthropoda; Insecta; Hymenoptera; Braconidae.